GUGCGCGGGAAAUGUUGUAUAGGUUCUUGUGUGUGGUGGGAAUGUGAGGUACCUUUUGUGCUUUUGCCAGUUAUGCCAUUUAUAUGACGUAAACUUAUCUUCAGGCUGGGUUCACACUGUUUGUGUUUAACGUACAGGGGUGUACACAAGGUCCCCUCGAGCCCUUGUCAACUGUAUGAGCAUCCUCAAGACACUGAUACAGUUAAAUAUUGCAAUGGACGUAGGACGUAGACGAGCAGCGCUUUUCUCUUGCCGAAGAAAUAUGAAAUGUGUCGUCUGAAGCAUCAAAUCACAGUAUUAAAAGCAGAUGCACACCCUGCAUUGCUUAAGAUUAUUUUCUUCUUUCUUAUAGAUUAGAAUGAAUGAACGAACACAAUAGCAGAGUGAUGAAACUUUCAUUGAGUUUUGGAUUAUUUGUUUUGAGUAAAUCAAGUACUAUUAUAGUGCCACAAUGCCCAAUUACAGUGCAAGACAGUGCUGCUUUGCAGACAUCCCUCUGUUGCAAUCAAUUUUAUUUGUAUUUGAUGAUAAAGAAUAUC
Molecule: long non-coding RNA, 539 nt
Organism: Hyla sarda
Lineage: Eukaryota; Metazoa; Chordata; Amphibia; Anura; Hylidae
Exons: 3
Source: RefSeq, a predicted model, not a curated record